RNAcentral lists this long non-coding RNA (3866 nucleotides) under Equus caballus (horse). RNAcentral describes it as "lncRNA (ENSECAG00000037104.2)". The record is from RNAcentral. Lineage: Eukaryota; Metazoa; Chordata; Mammalia; Perissodactyla; Equidae.
UACAUCAAGUUCGUUGGGCAAUACUUUGACUUUUCAGACGAAAAUUCUUGAUUGAAUAUCAUUUGAAUGUUUUUCAUUCUGGCAUCAUGACCUAAACAAGGCAAAGGGUUUUCAAUUCCAUUUAGCAUGAAUUUAUUAGGCAUCUUUGCCGUGCCAAGCUCUGUGCUGGACACUAUUAGCGACUGGGGGACAGGAGAAGCAACCCUAAGUUGUGCUGAAUCUAAACAACAAAAUGAUGUCCUUCCGUGCCUCGUGACACUGAUCUUAUUUGGACACUCCUUAAAGAAUGUAGUCUCUUCUCUCAAGGAAGUAACAGUUUAGUGCAGAGGAUAAGAAUUCCACAUAUCAAACAACUGAAAGGCAAGAGAAGAAGAAAAUUACUCAGCGCUGAAUCAUUUGGUGAGGUUAACUGAUGAGGGGCUCAGGCACGGAAGGAUCUGGGAGCAGCACUGGUGGACAGUGGCUACUGUAGACGGAGGGAGUCAGAUGAGCUGGAAGAAUGGAUGGGCGCUGGCCAGGCAGAGCCAGGCAAGGACUUUCUGUGUGUGGAUAAGUUCUGUGACCCCAUGCGCGUCCACAAACGCUAAAAAAUGAAACAAAACAAAGAACAACAACAACAAAAACCCAGAGGGGCCAGUUGACAAGUAGAAGAAGAGAGUUUGCAAUUAUUCGUGAUAUAUAUAUGUGAAGUAGUAAUAUUUUAAAAUAUUUGUCAACCAAACAAGUAAGCCAAAAAAAACAAAAACUAACUAAAAUGACAGGGUUUUAAUAAAUUGAUGUCCUGAGCCUUAUUUAGUCCAUAAUGUUUUUUAUGAAUGGUAUGAAGAAAGGAUAAUAGCACAUAUAUGGACCCUUUAUACAUAUACUGUCUCAUUUAAUUUAUAUAACAAUGCUGUGAAGUAGGAAUUGCAUUUGGUUACUGGUAAAGAGACGGGAAAAAUAGCGGCCGAAACAAGAAAGGGGUUUAUUUUUUUCACAUUAAAAUCUCCAGAGAUGGUCAAUCCUGGUCCAGCUCCAUGGCUAUCAGAGACCCAGGCUUCUUUCACCUCUCUCUUCACCAGACACAGUGAAGGGCCUCUAGUCUCUUGAUAGCCUCAUGGUAGCAAGAUGGCUAUUUUAGCUCCCACCAUCACAUCCAUGUUCCAGGUGGGAGGAGGAAGAAAGGAAGCUGAAAUGCAGAGGGGCACACCUCCUAACUCUCUUUAAAGGAGAUUCUAGGUUCUCUGUAAAGAGAUUUCCAAAAAACCCACUUCAGUGAUUUCUGAACCAUGAUCUCACCCCAUCUGCAAGGAACGAUGGGAAAGGCACUUCAGUUGAUCAUAUUCUGCCCGCAUGGACAGAGUCUGUGCUGGGAAGGAGGGCAGGGAGGCGGUACCUCCUAUCAGCCAGGCUGCGGGAAGCGAGCCCCCAAGGUGCCGAGUGGCCUCCCCGAGCCACACGCCGGGUCCCGAGCGCCGCUCCGUCCGCCCUCUGCGCAGGCCCGCGCCGGCCCUUCGAGGCGUGCGGCCCCCGAGGCUGCCUCAGGCCUUCCCGCGGACGUGCUGAGCUGUCCUCCUCGCGGGGUGGACCCUUUCCGGCUGCCGGGAGCUGCUGCGUCAGUGGCGGGGGAACCCGACCGAGCGAGCUCCCACCUGUGCGCCUGGGCGGCCCGUGCGGUGGGGCGUGGGAGGCGCGCUUCCUGGGCGUCCUGGGAGCCGAGCUUCUGCGCAGACGCGGCGUCUGCUGUCCCACGUGCUUCCUUUCAGCUCUGCUGACCUGGCCCCUCCCUUCAGCCCCUCCCGCUUAACAUUUAGCCAUUUGUCUUUCUUUCCCCGACAUCCACCUGUCUGCCUCUCCCGGAUCUGACGCCCAGUUACGAACUCCGUUCUCCAGAGAGAUUGUGAGCAAAGACACGUGCAGGGGACGUGUUACUCAGCCUCAAUCCUCAAGUGCAAACUAUUUUUUUUAACAUUUACUCUGCACAGAUCACUGUGCCAGGAACUACCGGGUUGAUUACGAAACAUAAGGUAGAGUCACGCUUGACCUCAAGGAGUAAACAACCUCAUCGCGGAAAUGGAAGGCGCACUAAGCGACAGGUAAUCGUGCAAGGAAGUGUGGAAGCGCCGUGAGAAGAGAGAGCACCGUGAGCGAAAGUGUUGGGAGGAAAGACAAGCCGCUUUUGACUGAGGAGGUCGGGGACAGCGUCACGAGACGAGAGAGAAUGGAUUUGAUCCCUGUUGAAAUUAGGAAAGGGGAAAGGAGCCUGCUGUUCCUUUGCACUGGCCCCUCCAUCAGCGCUUUUACAAGGAUGAGAGAAAAGGGAACCGACACCAGUCCGUUUUAUGAAUUGCGUUUUACCAGUCUUACUAAAGGCUUCAGAGAAAAAGAAUCUGCCAGCAAUCUCCAGAAUAUGGCCUUCGGUUAUUAAGUGGUUGUGUCCAAGAGGACAAGCAAGUGGUGAGGGCGACUCUAGGAGCACUGUGGGUGCAGGUGUCACACGCUGAACAGGGGGCACUGCGGCUCUUCUCUCUGUGCCUGACUUUCUGUCAUUGAUGCUUGUGAAUGAGGCAGCUUGCAAAAUGGCGGUGGUAGUCUUGGUUCUGUCCAGUCCUAGGAAGAGAGUUAGGUAAGGAUGUUAGUAGUGGUUUCACUUCCCAAUAAGCAAAUUCCUUUAAGCAGUCUAAUAUUAUCUUAUUUGGAGUUAUUGAGGAUAAUUUUGGGUUGCAAGUAAUAGACAACCUAACCCAAAGAGGCUUAAGCGUGAAAGGAAUUAGUUCACAGUGGUUACAAUGGACUAAUGUUUGUGUCCCCCAAAUUCAUAUGUUAAAUCCUAACCCCCAAAGUGCUAGUAUGAGGAGGUGGGGCCUUGGGAGGUGAUUAGGUCAUGAAGGUGGAGCCCUCAUGAAUGGGAUUAGUGCCCUUAGAAAAGAGGUCCCAGAGAGCUCCCUCACCCUCUCUGCACCAAGUGAGGACACAAUGAGAAGUGUGUGACACGGAAGAGAAUCCUUACCAGAACCCAACCAUGCCGGCGCUCUGAUCUCAGACUUCCGGCCUCCAGAGCCACGAGAAAUAAAUUUCUGUUGUUUAUAAGCUACUCGGUCUCUGGUACUUUGUUCUAGCAGCCCUGACUAAGACGGGGUCGUACAUGGCUUAGUGAGGCUGGAUCCAUGGACUAACGCGAUACAACCAGGACACUGUGUCUCUCCAUCUCUCAACUCUGUUCCCAGCGCACUGUGUUAUUUCUUACACUCCCACGCUAGCAAAAUGGCUCUCAGUAGCUGCAAGUUUCAAGGUUCAAUUUCAGUGGAAAAGAGCACAUGCUUCCUCUCACAGCUGCAGCAAAGCUUUCCAGAGUGUAUCUCUUCAGAUCUGAUGAGAUGCUUGGUUUUCCAGGCUGAGUCCUUCCAUGGAGUUCGGUAUUCAGUCAACUACAUUCAAAGUGCACGGACUGAGAAUGGAAGAGAGAGUGAUUCCCAUGGUACCAAUAUGAGAAGAAGGGAAGGGAUGCAGUGGGUGGGGUGGGAACAGUAAGUAUCUACAGCUGUGAUGUUCUAAAAUGCCUCUCUUUUAGCAAUACACCGCACAGCUGCCCCCAUCCUUCUCAACUUCCCAGUUCCAUUGUCACAUGACAUUUCUGAGAAGAGAAUACAUAUAGCCCCAAAUACCUAGUACCAGAGCCUAGAAUAUAAUUUUAGGCUAAUGUUUUGAGAAUAUGGGGGACUAGUCUUGGAACAAAUGCUCCAUGCUGAGGGGUUCACUUUCACUAUAAUAGUUCAUCCUCAGAGCAGCCUUUUGAAGCAGACAUAUUCUUAUUUUUUAGAUAAAGAAACUUCAGUUGAAAGAGGUUAAGCAUCUCACCCAGUGUCACAUAGCUAAGCAUUCGGACA